RNAcentral lists this ribosomal RNA (440 nucleotides) under uncultured bacterium. Its description in RNAcentral is "partial 16S ribosomal RNA". It matches the Rfam family "Bacterial small subunit ribosomal RNA", at positions 338 to 795 of the family's 1533-position model. The record is from RNAcentral.
CCUACGGGAGGCAGCAGUGGGGAAUAUUGCACAAUGGGGGAAACCCUGAUGCAGCGACGCCGCGUGAGUGAAGAAGUAAUUCGUUACGUAAAGCUCUAUCAGCAGGGAAGAAAAUGACGGUACCUGAGUAAGAAGCCCCGGCUAACUACGUGCCAGCAGCCGCGGUAAUACGUAGGGGGCAAGCGUUAUCCGGAUUUACGGGGUGGAAAGGGAGCGUAGACGGUGCGCCAAGUCUGGAGUGAAAUGCCGCAGCUUAACUGCGGAACUGCUUUGGAAACUGGCGAACUAGAGUGCGGGAGGGGUAAGCGGAAUGCGUGGUGUAGCGGUGAAAUGCGUAGAUAUUAGGAAGAACACCGGUGGCGAAGGCAGCUUACUGGACCGUAACUGACGUUGAGGCUCGAAAGCGUGGGGAGCAAACAGGAUUAGAUACCCGGGUAGUC